RNAcentral lists this ribosomal RNA (460 nucleotides) under uncultured bacterium. RNAcentral describes it as "partial 16S ribosomal RNA". It matches the Rfam family "Bacterial small subunit ribosomal RNA", at positions 338 to 795 of the family's 1533-position model. The record is from RNAcentral.
CCUACGGGCGGCAGCAGUGAGGAAUAUUGGUCAAUGGACGAGAGUCUGAACCAGCCAAGUAGCGUGAAGGAUGACUGCCCUAUGGGUUGUAAACUUCUUUUAUAUGGGAAUAAAAUGUUCCACGUGUGGGAUUUUGUAUAUACCAUAUGAAUAAGGAUCGGCUAACUCCGUGCCAGCAGCCGCGGUAAUACGGAGGAUCCGAGCGUUAUCCGGAUUUAUUGGGUUUAAAGGGAGCGUAGGUGGAUUGUUAAGUCAGUUGUGAAAGUUUGCGGCUCAACCGUAAAAUUGCAGUUGAAACUGGCAGUCUUGAGUACAGUAGAGGUGGGCGGAAUUCGUGGUGUAGCGGUGAAAUGCUUAGAUAUCACGAAGAACUCCGAUUGCGAAGGCAGUUCACUGGACUGCAACUGACACUGAGGCUCGAAAGUGUGGGUAUCAAACAGGAUUAGAUACCCGGGUAGUC